CAGCACCUCAAGUGGUCAGGAUGAUUAUUGGGCCUAAAGCAUCCGUAGCCUGCUUUGUCAGUUUUCGGUUAAAUCCAUACGCUCAACGUAUGGGCCGCCGGGAAUACUGCAAAGCUAGGGAGUGGGAGAGGUAGACGGUACUCGGUAGGAAGGGGUAAAAUCCUUUGAUCUAUUGAUGACCACCUGUGGCGAAGGCGGUCUACCAGAACAUGUCCGACGGUGAGGGAUGAAAGCUGGGGGAGCAAACCGGGAUUAGAUACCCCGGGUAGUCCCAGCUGUAAACUAUGCAAACUCGGUGAUGCAUUGGCUUGAUGCCAAUGCAGUGCCGCAGGGAAGCCGUUAAGUUUGCCGCCUGGAAGUACGUACGCAAGUAUG
This 375-nucleotide ribosomal RNA is filed under the name uncultured organism. Its description in RNAcentral is "partial 16S ribosomal RNA". It matches the Rfam family "Archaeal small subunit ribosomal RNA", at positions 477 to 851 of the family's 1478-position model. The record is from RNAcentral.